Molecule: ribosomal RNA, 468 nt
Filed under: uncultured bacterium
Lineage: Bacteria
Description: partial 16S ribosomal RNA
Rfam family: Bacterial small subunit ribosomal RNA
Source: RNAcentral
GACGAACGCUGGCGGCGUGCUUAACACAUGCAAGUCGAACGGAAAGGCCCUGCUUUUGUGGGGUGCUCGAGGGGCGAACGGGUGAGUAACACGUGAGUAACCUGCCCUUGACUUUGGGAUAACUUCAGGAAACUGGGGCUAAUACCGGAUAGGAGCUCCUGCUGCAUGGUGGGGGUUGGAAAGUUUCGGCGGUUGGGGAUGGACUCGCGGCUUAUCAGCUUGUUGGUGGGGGAGUGGCUGACCAAGGCUUUGACGGGUAGCCGGCCUGAGAGGGUGACCGGCCACCUUGGGCCUGAGGUACGGCCCAGACUCCUACGUGAGGCAGCAGUGGGGAAUAUUGCACAAUGGGCGGACGCCUGAUGCAGCAACGCCGCGUGCGGGAUGCCGGCCUUCGGGUUGUAAACCGCUUUCGCCUGUGACGAAGCGUGAGUGACGGUAAUGGGUAAAGAAGCACCGGCUAACUACGUG